GAAUCCGGGCGUGGGACCAUGUCAGCCGGUCAGUUUUACUGGGGGCGGUAUCCUCCCAAAGAGUAACGGAGGAGCGCGAAGGUUGGCUCAGCGCGGUUGGCAAUCGCGUGACGAGUGCAUUGGCAUAAGCCAGCCUAACUGUGAGACUGACAAGUCGAACAGAUACGAAAGUAGGCCAAAGUGAUCCGGCGGUUUAAUGUGGAAUUGCCGUCGCUUAACGGACAAAAGGUACGCUAGGGAUAACAGGCUGAUUUCAUCCAAGAGUUCAUAUCGACGAUGAAGUUUGGCACCUCGAUGUCGGCUCAUCGCAUCCUGGGGCUGGAGAAGGUCCCAAGGGUCCGGCUGUUCGCCGGUUAAAGCGGUACGCGAGCUGGGUUCAGAACGUCGCGAGACAGUUCGGUCCUCUAUCCUCUGUGGGCGCAGGAAAAUUGAGGGGUUUAAUUCCUAGUACGAGAGGACCGGAAUUAACGCACCUCUGGUGUUCCAGUUGUUCUGUCAAGAGCACCGCUGGGCAGCUAAGUGCGGAAGAG
RNAcentral lists this ribosomal RNA (530 nucleotides) under uncultured bacterium. Its description in RNAcentral is "bacterial LSU rRNA". It matches the Rfam family "Bacterial large subunit ribosomal RNA", at positions 2236 to 2763 of the family's 2925-position model. The record is from RNAcentral.